AUUGAACGCUGGCGGCAGGCCUAACACAUGCAAGUCGAGCGGAUGAAGGGAGCUUGCUCCUGGAUUCAGCGGCGGACGGGUGAGUAAUGCCUAGGAAUCUGCCUGGUAGUGGGGGAUAACGUCCGGAAACGGGCGCUAAUACCGCAUACGUCCUGAGGGAGAAAGUGGGGGAUCUUCGGACCUCACGCUAUCAUAUGAGCCUAGGUCGGAUUAGCUAGUUGGUGGGGUAAAGGCCUACCAAGGCGACGAUCCGUAACUGGUCUGAGAGGAUGAUCAAUCACACUGGAAGUGAGACACGGUCCAGACUCCUACGGGAGGCAGCAGUGGGGAAUAUUGGACGAUGGGCGAAAGCCUGAUCCAGCCAUGCCGCGUGUGUGAAGAAGGACUUCGGAUUGUAAAGCACUUUAAGUUGGGAGGAAGGGCAGUAAGUUAAUACCUUGCUGUUUUGACGUUACCAACAGAAUAAGCACCGGCUAACUUCGUG
This 484-nucleotide ribosomal RNA is filed under the name uncultured bacterium. Its description in RNAcentral is "partial 16S ribosomal RNA". It matches the Rfam family "Bacterial small subunit ribosomal RNA", at positions 30 to 507 of the family's 1533-position model. The record is from RNAcentral.